This 642-nucleotide ribosomal RNA is filed under the name Callopistria exotica. RNAcentral's name for it is "SSU rRNA". It matches the Rfam family "Eukaryotic small subunit ribosomal RNA", at positions 1165 to 1797 of the family's 1831-position model. Lineage: Eukaryota; Metazoa; Arthropoda; Insecta; Lepidoptera; Noctuidae. The record is from RNAcentral.
CACCACCAGGAGUGGAGCCUGCGGCUUAAUUUGACUCAACACGGGAAAUCUCACCAGGCCCGGACACCGGAAGGAUUGACAGAUUAACAGCUCUUUCUUGAUUCGGUGGGUGGUGGUGCAUGGCCGUUCUUAGUUGGUGGAGCGAUUUGUCUGGUUAAUUCCGGUAACGAACGAGACUCUAGCCUGCUAAAUAGGCGUCGUCAUUUAGGUGUGCGUGGCUCCGUCACGCAACUCACUGGCGACGUAUUAAAAUUCUUCUUAGAGGGACCGGCGGCUUCGAGCCGCACGAGAUUGAGCAAUAACAGGUCUGUGAUGCCCUUAGAUGUCCUGGGCCGCACGCGCGCUACACUGAAGGAAUCAGCAUGUUCUCCCUGGCCUAGAGGCCCGGGCAACCCGCUGAAACUCCUUCGUGCUGGGGAUUGGGGUUUGCAAUUAUCCCCCAUAAACGAGGAAUUCCUAGUAAGCGCGAGUCAUAAGCUCGCGUUGAUUACGUCCCUGCCCUUUGUACACACCGCCCGUCGCUACUACCGAUUGAAUGAUUUAGUGAGGUCUUCGGACCGACACGCGGUGGCUUCGCGGCCGUCGGCGUUGCUGGGAAGUUGACCAAACUUGAUCAUUUAGAGGAAGUAAAAGUCGUAACAA